GCGCUUGUAGCUCAGCUGGAUAGAGCAGUGGACUUCGAAUCCAAAGGUCGCAGGUUCAAAUCCUGCCAGGCGCACCA
This 77-nucleotide transfer RNA is filed under the name Candidatus Lambdaproteobacteria bacterium RIFOXYC1_FULL_56_13. RNAcentral's name for it is "tRNA-Arg". It matches the Rfam family "tRNA". Rfam says of the family: Transfer RNA (tRNA) molecules are approximately 80 nucleotides in length. Their secondary structure includes four short double-helical elements and three loops (D, anti-codon, and T loops). RNAcentral also lists the same sequence under 2 other names. Lineage: Bacteria; Pseudomonadati; Pseudomonadota; Candidatus Lambdaproteobacteria. The record is from RNAcentral.